GUUCAUGGUGGCUGUACGCAGGGCACGUUCGCGUGCGCCGGGCUCUUCAGGUACCGGUCUGCCAACCUGCGUACGGCCGCCACCCUU
This 87-nucleotide non-coding RNA is filed under the name Pseudomonas sp. M47T1. The record is from RNAcentral. Lineage: Bacteria; Pseudomonadati; Pseudomonadota; Gammaproteobacteria; Pseudomonadales; Pseudomonadaceae.